UACGUAGGGUGCGAGCGUUGUCCGGAAUUAUUGGGCGUAAAGAGCUCGUAGGCGGUGUGUCACGUCGGCCGUGAAAACCUGCAGCUUAACUGUGGGCGUGCGGUCGAUACGGGCAUCACUGGAGUUCGGCAGGGGAGACUGGAAUUCCUGGUGUAGCGGUGAAAUGCGCAGAUAUCAGGAGGAACACCGGUGGCGAAGGCGGGUCUCUGGGCCGAUACUGACGCUGAGGAGCGAAAGCUAGGGGAGCAAACAGG
This 254-nucleotide ribosomal RNA is filed under the name uncultured bacterium. Its description in RNAcentral is "partial 16S ribosomal RNA". It matches the Rfam family "Bacterial small subunit ribosomal RNA", at positions 524 to 776 of the family's 1533-position model. The record is from RNAcentral.